GAUGAAGAACGUAGCGAAAUGCGAUAAGUAAUGUGAAUUGCAGAAUUCAGUGAAUCAUCGAAUCUUUGAACGCACAUUGCGCCCCCUGGUAUUCCGGGGGGCAUGCCUGUUCGAGCGUCAUUACGCCCCUCAAGUCCCCUGUGGACUUGGUGUUGGGGAUCGGCGAGGCUGGUUUUCCAGCACAGCCGUCCCUUAAAUUAAUUGGCGGUCUCGCCGUGGCCCUCCUCUGCGCAGUAGUAAAACACUCGCAACAGGAGCCCGGCGCGGUCCACUGCCGUAAAACCCCCCAACUUUUUAUAGUUGACCUCGAAUCAGGUAGGACUACCCGCUGAACUUAAGCAUAUCAAUAAGCGGAGGA
Molecule: unclassified non-coding RNA, 358 nt
Filed under: soil metagenome
Description: partial contains 5.8S ribosomal RNA, internal transcribed spacer 2, and large subunit ribosomal RNA
Rfam family: 5.8S ribosomal RNA (bases 1-120)
Source: RNAcentral